CCAGUAUCUCCCUCCCUCUACCCCGACCCCAGGCUGCCUAGUUCUGCUCUUCAGGUCAGUCUGGAUCCCCAUGCUCCUGUAUCUGCUGGUCCUGUGCCAUGCUAUAGGGCUAGAGACAAGAGACUCCUGAGAAACACAGAGUAGUGAAGCUUGGUCUGAAUGUCUAUUCUUGGUCACCCCAAUAGUUCCUGUCCUCCAAGGUAGUCAUCAUCCAUUAACCUUUAGGGGAUUCCUGACGGCUCCCGGACCCACAGACCUACAGAGGUUGAACCUACGACCUGAGUCAAGUAGUCUAGUAGUAAUCAGUUUAGUCCUGUCUGAUUUGCUUCUGCUGCCUGAAGGAUCUAGAACCGGAAGGGUCCUUUCUUUUUCCCCAUUCCAUCUCAUUAAAGGCUUUGGGGUGCAGCAAAACAGAUUGUAUUAUUGCACAAGGGCACGACUCAGAAAUCCUCCAUGCUCUGUGCCUGCUGAACUGAACACACUAAAUGAAGGGUCCCUUUUCCUAAUCACCACAGAGGCUCCCUGGGGGCUGGCAGAGGUCCUGCCCUGAAGCACAGCAAGAAGCCCAUGGAAAUAAAAGGCUCAAGGAGGACCGUCCAUGGCUGAGUCACGUGGCAGAGAAAGCUUCCACUAAAGACGGUUCUUCAAAACUGCUCAGAUGGAGCAGGGGCCAGGAACAAUGCCGGGAGAGCUGAGCUCAGAGUGCCAUGGAGGCAGACGGUCUUAGGGGAGAGGAGUGCCAUGCCCCAGAAAACCUCAGUGCCCAGACUAAGCAGAUAAGAAGGGUCAAGGCCAAGAACUCUCAGGACACCCGUGGGAUGAGGGCGGAAAUGAGUCCUUCAAAACUCAAACCAGACCUGCGAGAAGAUGAACCUCGUCUGCCUGCUGCUGUGCUUGUUCCAGCCCCGGUGAAGGGGUGAGAGUUUCCUAUCCUCCCAGAGGAGCUGGACCCCUGGCUGCCCCCUCCCUUCCC
Long non-coding RNA from Alexandromys fortis (reed vole), 973 nucleotides. RefSeq lists it as uncharacterized. NCBI's taxonomy places the organism in Eukaryota, Metazoa, Chordata, Mammalia, Rodentia, Cricetidae. The record is from RefSeq and is a predicted model, not a curated record. The transcript is spliced from 3 exons.